UACAGAGGUCUCAAGCGUUGUUCGGAUUCAUUGGGCGUAAAGGGUGCGUAGGCGGCGCGGUAAGUCGGCUGUGAAAGUCCAGGGCUCAACCCUGGAAAGCCGGCCGAUACUGUCGGACUAGAGUCCGGAAGAGGCGAGUGGAAUUCCCGGUGUAGCGGUGGAAUGCGUAGAGAUCGGGAAGAACAUCAGUGGCGAAGGCGGCCUGCUGGGCUGACACUGACGCUGAGGCGCGAAAGCGUGGGGAGCAAACAGG
Molecule: ribosomal RNA, 253 nt
Filed under: uncultured bacterium
Lineage: Bacteria
Description: partial 16S ribosomal RNA
Rfam family: Bacterial small subunit ribosomal RNA
Source: RNAcentral